RNAcentral lists this unclassified non-coding RNA (489 nucleotides) under uncultured fungus. RNAcentral describes it as "partial contains 5.8S ribosomal RNA, internal transcribed spacer 2, and large subunit ribosomal RNA". Lineage: Eukaryota; Fungi. The record is from RNAcentral.
AACGCAAAUGGCGCUGCAGGGCUUGCUCUGCAGCAUGUCUGUUUGAGUGUCAGAUCUUUACCUCUCGACUCCAAGUAACAUUGGGUUGGGGCUUGACAUGAGGUGUUGACUGCGUAUUUGGUUAUGCAGACAUCCCUUUAAAUCCAAAGGAAUGAGACCAGCGAGUGCCAUUGAUACUUCUGCUCCCAUCACAAAACUCCAGCCUAAAGCAACUGUUUCAGUCUUGUACUGAGGCAAAAUACUUUGGUGUGGUAAAUGUGCUUCGUCAAAGACCAUUUUGCUAAGUCGCAUUAGGCUUUUGUGCAUCGUGUGUGGAAGUAUUCAAUCCAUUUGCUGCGCGUGUCGUUCCGCAAACAUAUAGUUUGCAUGCUUCGUUGAUGGGUCCUGCCAGUGUUCCUUACGAAUGGUUGGCGGAUCCCCAGUGAAUGCAUUCAACUACCUUUUUUCUCUUAUGACCUCAAAUCAGGCAAGAUUACCCGCUGAACUUAA